AUCAGCGAUGAUAGCACGUUGAGUGAACCAGUCCCCGAUGGAUCACUGAAGCUGAGCAACAUUGCUCAUGGUUGGUAUCCGGACGGGUGACCAUCUAUACAAUGACGUGCUGUUGACU
Molecule: ribosomal RNA, 118 nt
Filed under: Diaphorina citri (Asian citrus psyllid)
Lineage: Eukaryota; Metazoa; Arthropoda; Insecta; Hemiptera; Psyllidae
Source: RNAcentral